RNAcentral lists this ribosomal RNA (1398 nucleotides) under uncultured bacterium. Its description in RNAcentral is "partial 16S ribosomal RNA". It matches the Rfam family "Bacterial small subunit ribosomal RNA". The record is from RNAcentral.
UUUGAUCUGGGCCCAGGACAAACCCUGCCGCCUUCCUUACCACUCCAAUUCAAACGAAAAGGCCCCCUUCUGUGGUGGGGGUGCCCCAAUGGCCAAAGGGUGAAUAACACCUGGGUUAUCCGCCCCGUACUUCCGGAUUAACCUGGGAAACCGGGUCCAAUACCCGAUAGGAACAUGGUUUAGUGUCUCAUGGUGGAAAAAUAUUGUUUUGGUGCAGGAUGAGCUCGCGGCCUAUCAGCUCGUUGGUGGGGUAAUGGCCUACCAAGGCGUCGACGGGUAGCCGGCCUGAAAGGGGGAACGGCCCCAUUGGAACUGAAAUACGGCCCAAACCCCUACGGAAGGCACCUGUGGGGAAUAUUGCACUGUGGGCGCACCCCAGACGCCGCCACCCCGCGUGGGAGAUGACCGCCUUCGUUGUUGUAUACUCCUUUCAUUAAGGACGACACCACUCCUUUUUUGGGUGUGGUGACCGUACCUUUGUUAACAACCACCAGCUACCUACCUGCCACCACCCGCGAUCAUACGUGCGGUGCGUAGCCUUGACCUGAAGUACUGAGCGUCUCGAACUCGGAUGUGUGUUGUUGCUGCGACUGUGAAUUUCCGGGGCUUAACUUCGGGGUGGCAGGCGAUACGGGCAUAACUAGAGUGCUGUAGGGGAGACUGGAAUUCCUGGUGUAGCGGUGGAAUGCGCAGAUAUCAGGAGGAACACCGAUGGCGAAGGCAGGUCUCUGGGCAGUAACUGACGCUGAGGAGCGAAAGCAUGGGGAGCGAACAGGAUUAGAUACCCUGGUAGUCCAUGCUGUAAACGGUGGGCGUUAGGUGUGGGGACCGGUUUGGUUUCUGUGCCGUAGCUAACGCAUUAAGCGCCCCGCCUGGGGGGUACGGCCGCAAGGCUAAAACUCAAAGGAAUUGACGGGGGCCCGCACAAGCGGCGGAGCAUGUGGAUUAAUUCGAUGCAACGCGAAGAACCUUACCUGGGUUUGACAUGCACCAGACGGUUGUAGAGAUACGUACCUCCCUUUGUGGUUGGUGCGCAGGUGGUGCAUGGUUGUCGUCAGCUCGUGUCGUGAGAUGUUGGGUUAAGUCCCGCAACGAGCGCAACCCUUGUCUUAUGUUGCCAGCACUUUGGGUGGGGACUCAUGAGAGACUGCCGGGGUUAACUCGGAGGAAGGUGGGGAUGACGUCAAAUCAUCAUGCCCUUUAUGCCCAGGGCUUCACACAUGCUACAAUGGUUAGUACAACGCGCUGCGAACCUGUGAGGGUGAGCGAAUCGCUGAAGGCUAAUCUCAGUUCGGAUUGGGGUCUGCAACUCGACCCCAUGAAGUCGGAGUCGCUAGUAAUCGCAGAUCAGCAAUGCUGCGGUGAAUACGUUCCCGGGCCUUGUACACACCGCCCGUC